This 784-nucleotide ribosomal RNA is filed under the name bacterium enrichment culture clone PA_39. RNAcentral's name for it is "bacterial SSU rRNA". It matches the Rfam family "Bacterial small subunit ribosomal RNA", at positions 1 to 823 of the family's 1533-position model. The record is from RNAcentral.
UAGAGUUUGAUCCUGGCUCAGAAUCAACGCUGGCGGCGUGCCUAACACAUGCAAGUCGCACGAGAAAGGGGCUUCGGCUCUGAGUAAAGUGGCGCACGGGUGAGUAACACGUGAAUUAUCUACCUCCGAGUGGGGAAUAACUGAGAGAAAUCUUAGCUAAUACCGCAUAACACUUACGAGUCAAAGCAGCAAUGCGCUUGGAGAGGAGUUCGCGGCCGAUUAGUUAGUUGGCGGGGUAAUGGCCCACCAAGACGAUGAUCGGUAUCCGGCCUGAGAGGGCGCACGGACACACUGGAACUGAAACACGGUCCAGACUCCUACGGGAGGCAGCAGUGGGGAAUUUUGCGCAAUGGGGGAAACCCUGACGCAGCAACGCCGCGUGGAGGAUGAAAUCCCUUGGGAUGUAAACUCCUUUCGAUAGGGAAGAUUAUGACGGUACCUAUAGAAGAAGCCCCGGCUAACUUCGUGCCAGCAGCCGCGGUAAUACGAGGGGGGCAAGCGUUGUUCGGAAUUAUUGGGCGUAAAGGGCGCGUAGGCGGUUUGACAAGUCUGAUGUGAAAUCUCUGGGCUCAACCCAGAGUCUGCAUUAGAAACUGUCGGGCUUGAGUAUGGGAGAGGUGAGUGGAAUUUCCGGUGUAGCGGUGAAAUGCGUAGAUAUCGGAAGGAACACCUGUGGCGAAAGCGGCUCACUGGACCAUAACUGACGCUGAGGCGCGAAAGCUAGGGGAGCAAACAGGAUUAGAUACCCUGGUAGUCCUAGCCCUAAACGAUGAUUGCUUGAUGU